RNAcentral lists this ribosomal RNA (403 nucleotides) under uncultured bacterium. RNAcentral's name for it is "bacterial SSU rRNA". It matches the Rfam family "Bacterial small subunit ribosomal RNA", at positions 355 to 775 of the family's 1533-position model. The record is from RNAcentral.
UGAGGAAUAUUGCCCAAUGGGGGAAACCCUGAGGCAGCAACGCCGCGUGAACGAAGACGGCCUUCGGGUUGUAAAGUUCUUUUCUGGGGGACGAUGAUGACGGUACCCCAGGAAUAAGUUCCGGCUAACUACGUGCCAGCAGCCGCGGUAAAACGUAGGGGACAAGCGUUAUCCGGAUUUACUGGGCGUAAAGCGCACGUAGGCGGUGAGGUAAGUUGGCCGUGAAAGCUCCCGGCUUAACUGGGAGAGGUCGGACAAAACUGCCCCACUUGAGGCUGAGAGAGGAGAGCGGAAUUCCCGGUGUAGUGGUGGAAUGCGUAGAUAUCGGGAGGAACACCAGUGGCGAAGGCGGCUCUCUGGCUCAGAACUGACGCUGAGGUGCGAAAGCGUGGGGAGCGAACGG